Gasterosteus aculeatus aculeatus (three-spined stickleback) is the source of this 1803-nucleotide long non-coding RNA. NCBI's taxonomy places the organism in Eukaryota, Metazoa, Chordata, Actinopteri, Perciformes, Gasterosteidae. The record is from Ensembl.
AAAUCCACAAACCGAAAGCAGGGGGUUGAGGGAGAAGCCGAGGACGGCUUCAUGACAAUCAUUAGUGAGGGAAAACAAAAUGAAGCUUGUGUGGAGCAUUACUCUGAAGAGCCAUAAUUAAACAAGAAGGUCCAACGCCAGCAGCGCGUCUUCAGAGGAGCCCCCGGCCGUGCACGUCUGUCUGCGGUGGGAGAGAUAACGCCGGCGAGUGGGUGGGCAAUGUCUCCUGGAGCCAGUGGGAGCCUGAACCAGCACCCGUUGUUUUGUUUUUCUAGACCGGGCAGUGACCUCCAGCGUUGCCCGGCCGGCAGCUCGCAGGGAGGGGUUCAAUAGUCUUGUGUGUUCGGGAAGCGUUCGGCCCGGUUUUCCGAUGAGCGGCACUGGGAGUGUGACGUGUUGCAGUGGAAGCGGAGGACGUGCCUCUGACUCCAAAUGAAUUGCUGUAGCAUUCACAACACACAAGCGCGCAAGCCGCACAACGCCGACAGAUGAAACCGAUGAAAGGGUGAGCAGUGGGCAUAAGAAAAGUUCCCGUGUAUAAUAACAUUAUAUUCUUCAAUGGAAACUGAGCAGAGGUUGUGUUUGUUUUUAUUCAAAUUUCCACUUGCUUUAGGGGCAAAACAAGUUCUCCUUUUAUUUCCAAUGUCAAGAGUCCAUGAAAUAGGUAGAGGAGGGGUGGGCGCCUCCGAAGUCAGUGCAAACUGUCAAAGUGUUUUUUCUGAAGGCCCCACGAGGAAAGCUGAGGACUUACAGUGUGAAUACGCCGCGCGCUGUUUACUUCUGAGAGCGGAAUAAUAACAAAGAUGCCUCACAAGCUGCUUCCCACAACUAAUGAUCAAGUACAACUGUAUAGUUUGCCAUCCCCAUCCGUUACAUUUUUUUUUUUUGUCCUUUUCAAUCUUUCUAAGCGCUAAUGUGUAACUGAUCCUAAUUAGCAUCACCGAUAGCGCACGUCAUUCCCUCUUGACCCCCGGUUGUCUUGAAAAGGUCACAUUUAGAGUUUCGAGUGACCGAGAGAAAAACCCUCCACCAGGUUGAAGACCUCUGUCGUGUUAAAUGUAUGUUUUUGUGACACGUGUUGACAAAAUGCUGAGUGUUGCGUGAGGCUUUGGAAAGGAUCUGACCUGCUCUGUCAUUACAGGGCUGAAUACGGUGGCGAAGAGAAGUGGUCCUUGAUGUCCCCCAGGUGUGUCACUGUGUGUGUGCAUCGACGUCUGGGCUGUGGGACAAAAUAAGACCCCCGGAACCAUCUCGGGAUGGUUUGUCCUUCUGUCCUUCCUACUCUCUUGAAGGGGAUUUUAAAUCCAAUCAAAUUAUACAUAUUUUUCUGGAUGGAUCCUUGAACAAUUUCCCAAUGUCAAAUUUUUGCUUCAAAAAUGUUGCUCGGCCCUUCAGAACUCAUAGCUCGUGUUUAAGCGUUUUUUUGUUUCAAUGAUUACGGAUAAAUAACAUUUUGUUUGUUAAUUGAAGAAAGACAGAUUAUAAACCUAUUAUGAUUGGAUCUGACCGAAUAAAAUUCCAUUUUAAAAGAAACACUAGGAACCUUUCACUGUCCAAUGAUAUCAUAUGCCGGCCAUGUCAGUGUAACAUGACUUCCUAUCGUAAAUGUUUUUAGGUUUUUCAUUUAAUUCCUGCUAGGGUACUAGGGGUUUUAUAAAUCAAUCUCAGUUGACUUAACUUGAUUGAAGAUAAUUGUGUUGCCUGUUAUAUAUAUAUUGAUGUGUGUUUGUUUUCCUGGUUUAAACUGGCAGUUAAGUAAUUAAAUAGUAAAACUAUAAUAAAGAUCAAAAAGAAUGAAGAGAA